GUAAGGUAGCAAAGUUCCUUCACGAAGGAGGAAGCUUAGUGAUGAUACCCCCGGCAACAAACUUGUCCGGUAGGAUACAAUUGAAGUGCUCAAGUUCUCUAGCAAAUGACUGUAUCUCAUGAGCCUGCUCAACCAUGGAGCGCUCUUCAGUCAUCCUGUAAUCAUAGAAUUGCUCCAUGAUGUACAGCUCAGUGCCGGCAUCCGAGACCCCAAACUUGGCCUCGAGUGCGUCUCACAUAUCUUUUCCAUUGUCAAUUGACGCAUAAGCAUCAACUAUGUUCUCACCAAGAACACUCAAGAGAGCAGCCUUAAACAAGGUAUCCAUUUUCUGAAAAGCUUGUGCCUGUUGGGCAUCUUGCUCUCCUUCAGGUUUGCCAAGAGUGGCGUCAUAGCAACUCAUAGUUUGAAACCAUAAGACUGCUCUCACGCGCUACCUCUUAUAAUGGAUACCCUCAAACAUAGGAGGUCUCAUGGAAGCAGCAAAACCAUUCGAGGUAAAUUGCCUAUAAUAAGGUUUUUGGAUGGGACUGACUAUUUAACAUCUGACUGAUUUCCAAUUGGGUUUCAGUCAAAUUUCCUGACAAAUAAACAUAUGACACCUGUAUGUCCAAACAAGGCCGACAAUCGUAUGUUUAUAUGUCCAACAAAACGGAUCGGGCUAAAUAUUCUGACCCGAUUCUCACUAAACCAAAAUAGAACCGAUUCCUGCUCAACUACGCAACUAACAAGGCCCUCCUGAACCACAAAACACCUGCGCCUAACAAAAAGAGAGAAAACAGGAAACAACUGCCCUUCAAUUUGCAUCCUACGCAAGGACCCAAACUCAACUACCCUAACCCCUCCACAGAUCUCCUGUAACACACCACAGCGCAGAACACAUCUGGGAGACGCGAUGGAAGAGGUGAGCAAGAAGAAAGAACAGAAACAAGUCAGAUAGAUAUGGGAGAGGGGAAAGUACCUGGAGAGAAUCAAAAGGGAAGAGCAGCUGCCAAUAUUUGGGGGAGGACAGAGGAAGAUCAUCCAAGAUAUGAUCCACAUGUCAGAAACUCUCCUACUCCUUUUGCUCACCCUUCUGAUGUACAGACACCUUUUACAUGAACUUGUCUGUAGAAAACAUCAAAGAAUCUAGUGAAAAAAUGGAAUCAUCAGCUUCUAACAGAUUGAAAAAGCAACACUGAAAUUUAUUUAGAUCAGGGUAAAAACAGCAAACCAACAGGAAACAUAGAGUUAAAAAGCAUUGUAAAUACACACGAAAAUAAGGGCAUAUGGUAAGUACACAUGAAAAUAUGUGCUCCAUUACGGUGUAAUGAAGCUGCAAUUUGCAUUGUCAGAAAACUAGGAAAUUAGAGAUAAAGCAUGGACUAUGAUAAAUGUGGGAUAUUACACUGUAAGGCAACUGAGGAUAUACAGUGAGAAAAUCAUAGGAAUUCCACUGUAAAUACCUACAGUAUAUAUAAUGUAAAAAAUGAGGUAUUUACAGAGCGUAACUCCCUAAAAAAAUCUUAGGUAUUCCACUGCAAUACCUACAAGUUUUACAAUGACUAUGUAGUAAAACUGGGGGAUAUUACAGUGAAAUCAAAUUGAAAAAGCACACUGUGGAAUGACAACAAUGAAGUAGGCACAAAGACAACAACUCAGAGACAUCAGAGAAAAUUCACUGAACAAAUCAGUGGAAAUUGCAGUGCAAACACCAAAGAAUGGCAGCGAUGAAUAACCACAGUAAAUUACAGUGCAAACACCAAUGAUUUACAGUGACUAAGGCCCUGUUCGGCAGCUCUCCAGCUCCGUAUAAUACGGGAGCGGACGGAGCGCCAGUUUUACAACUCCAGGAAAAUGCACUACGGGCCGCUCCGCUCCGGCCGCUCCAGGAGCAGAGCUGCGUAACGGAGGGCUGCCGAACACGGCCUAAAGCUCUAGAAUUACACUAUACAAUAUAAGGAAUUACUCUGAAAGUAAAUUACAGUGAAGGUACACAUGAAGUACGGUGCUUCACAAGGAAAAUUUACAGUCUAAAUACACUUGAAUUACUAUAAAUAAAUACAGCAAUAUACAAUCUAGGCACGCAGAAAUUAAACAGAAGCAAUUCAGGGCAUUCUGACAAAUUACGGUAAGCUCCUUGGAGGAACAUGUACGCACAAUGUCACACGAGUCUGCUGUUCAUAAGUUACUAUUAAUCAUAAAAGUGUUUGCUGUUCAUAUUUCUGCUAUUAUUGACAUAUAACAUUUCAAAAUUGCAGAUGGGAAGCAAGCAAAGAACAAUGACCAAAGGGGAUCUACUCACAAUGCCACAAGAAGAACUCAUUCUAAAUGUGAGAUAAGCAAAUAAUGAUAUCAGAAACUUGAAGAAAAAUUAUGUGUACAUAAUAACGAAAAGUUACAAUAUAUUGCAGGAAACAUUUUCAUUUACUGCCCUGCUACAACCUGACAUUAUAUACAAGGUAAAAGACCUAGUUAUCUACAUGAUGGACCUAGCAAAAGCAAAGCACGACGAAAAGAAUAGAUUUGUGCAAAAGAGGAGAACUAAAAAAUAUGUUGAAGCUUGCAGGUACAUUCAGGAGAUGGGCCUAGGAACACGUGUCAGCAAAGGAAGGAACACGUAUCAAGGAAUUUCAAGAAAGGUAAGUAAAAUAGUUUCUUAAUUGGUAUGCUUGAUUUCAAGAAAUGAAGAGAAUCGUUCAAUGACAGGUGGAGAUAAAAGAAGGCGGCAAGAAGAGGAACAGCGACAAGAAGCAGGAUGUAUCACCAACAACACAAGGCUAGAGCCGAAUUUUCAGGAGAGGGACAUGGAAGAAGAAGGAAAAGAAAGGAAAAUGGAAGGCAAGAAAAGACCAGAUGAGAUAGAGAAGAAAAUGGAAGAAGACAUGAAAAACACGAGAAUGAACUUUAGGAGACAAAAUCCAAAAAGGAAUACUUGAGUUGUACUUUGAGGGCAAACAUUCUUGCUACCUAAGAGAUAGAUUUCAGAAUGUUUUGCGAAAUUUAGAAUACAUUAUGCUUGUUUACAACAUGGAACUUGACUAUAUAUUACACAACAAAAGCUAAAAUUCUGUUGAGAUUUAAAUUACCUUUAGUAGACAGUAAAAAAUUGUAUUAUGUGUGAGAUUCUCUUAGUAGUUCAGAACUAUAAAACAAUACUGCAACAUUAAGGGAGAAAAUAAAAUAAAUUAGUAGAUUCGAAAUGAAAAAUGUAAUAAAACAGUAGCAGAAAGAAACUGAAGUAAACUGCAAGCAAAUAAAGAAAAGGACUAGUUACACUUACUAUAGGCUGCCAGAAUAGUUUAUGGUCUUAUAUAACAAGGAGCAACUGCAAAAAUCAGGGAGGAAAUACUAUAACAAUCACAACUAAAUUUCAGAGGAAAGCCACUGAAAUUUCAUGAGAUGUGCAAGCAAACAAUAAGAUACAGAAGGAAAAAAGAUUAUAUAUGACCUAAAUACAGAACUACAACACUGAAAAACUGUAGUGCAACAUUAAAGAGAAGAACAGACUAAAGCCAUGCAAGAGCUUAGUAUAACAAGGGGGACUAACCACAUUCCUUCUUCCAACACAUGAUAAUUUCCUAUUCAAUGAUUUCACCUUCUGAAAAAACAAAAAAAAAAUACAAGGGUCAAUAGAAACAAUCAUCAUCAAAAACAUAAUCAACUACUUCAAGAAAACAAAAAAAGCACACACAUGAUUCAAAUAGAACUUGAAUAGAGCUUUGACAAAGCCUCCAUCAUCACUAGAAAGUUCCAGAAAAAAACCAACAAACCCAAAUUAAAUAAACUGAAAGAGAGAAGAAAGAAGACAAUAAAAACUAGAGAAGAAGACAGAAAUGACUACCAAUGUCAUAGCAUUAGAACCAUCAUCCGUGAAGUCAUUAGGCACAAAUGGAUCAUUCAAAGAGUCUGCACUCUCAAUAGAUGAUACUAAUGGAACGUCCUGGUGAGUGACUUUCCGUAUCCUACCCAUUAGACUAAAAGGUAAAACAAAUCAUAAACCAAAUGAGAAACAUAUCCGGGAGCUAGCUCUAAACACAUGAAUAUUGCACAGGAAUGUAGCUCAAAAAUUGCAGAGGAUGAAAUAAAAUUACAGAGUAAUGCAGCUGAAAUUUACAGUCAAAUUACAUUGAAAAAACUGGGGAAUUAUAGUGUAAGUCUCUGUCAAAUUACAGAGUAAAUCUGAGGCAAAUUCCAGCGUAAAUCUCAGUCAAAUUACAGUGUAAUAUCUGGGACAUAUUACAGUGCAAACAUGGGGAAUUACAGUGUAAAACUCAGUCAAAUUACAUAGUAAAUCUGAGGCAAAUUCCAGUGUAAAGCUCGGUCAAAUUAUAGUGUAAUAUCUGGGAUUACAGUGCAAAUCUCGGGGAUUACAGUAUAAAUCUUGUUCAAAUUACAUAGUAAAUCUGAUGCAAAUUCUAGUGUAAAGCUCGGUCAAACUAUAGUGUAAUACGUAUCUGGGACAUAUUACAGUGCAAAUCUAGGGGAUUACAGUAUAAAUAUUGAUCAAAUUACAGAGUAAAAGUAGCUGAAAUAUACACAGAAAAUCUAGGGCAUAUUACAGUGUAAAAUCUUGGGAAUUACAGUGUAAAUCUCGGCUAAAUUACUGAGUAAAAGAAGCUAAAAUAUACAAAGUAAAUCUAGGGCAUAUUAGAGUGUAAAUCUCGGGCAAAUUACAGUGUAAAAGAAGCUCGAAUUUACGGAGAAACUCUGGGGCACAUUACAUGCAUAUCUGGGACAUUUUACAGUGCAUAUGACACCACCUACCUGAUAUUUGCAGACUAUAUAAGAAUGCUACACGGGAUACUACACUGCUAAAUCUAACACUAAAAAUUCAGAACAAAUUACAGUCCUACUACACAUGGAAUUAGAAAUUAAAUACCCAGGAAUUACAAUGACAGUGCACAGAGAAAAUACACGGGACUACCCCUGGGACUACAUGGCUCACUCUGCAAAAAUCUCAUACAUGAUUAAGCACUGAAAAAAGCCAAAGCCUAACACGGGGAAACAAUUAAUACUACCAAAAUACAAACAACUACAACAGAAAUCAGGGUUGGAGUAGAACUGCCAUGAACCAACCAGCUGAAGCAAACACAUAGCCUAUCUAUUUAGCAGAAAUCUCCGAACCCUAACCACAAAAGCAACCCUCUUAUGACACCUACCACUGCCUACAGCGAUGGGUUCAAAACAUGGGGACCUAAAACCUGACAACGACACCAUAACCCAGUACAACAGACCAGUUCAUACAUCUACAAAAAGAGUAGAGGGGGAACCAGCGGAAUCUACACAUACCCCGCAGCAGAACCAACAAUUGCAUCUACAAGAGCUAACAAAAUCCACAACAGCACCAGUAACCUACAGACACCGCAAAACCAAGCAAAAAAUAGAGUUAGAUCUGGAAGCUACAGGGACAGAAACAUGCGAAAUAUACAGGGGGAGGGGGCAGACGAGAACAACCAACCGGGCAACCGUGAAUCAAAAAGAAGUCAAGCUCCAGCAGAGGGGGGUCUCCGGAACGACAUGAACACGGCGGAACCGCCUCCUCUUCUCCGUCGCUCUCCCUCUCGCUCGCUCUCUGUCUCUCUACUGGUUAGAACAGUGCCGCCCAAAUGAAAUGGGGAAGGGAGAGGCGAAGAGAAAAUUCAAAGGAAAAAAUAAAGAAAAC
Molecule: long non-coding RNA, 5641 nt
Filed under: Triticum aestivum (bread wheat)
Lineage: Eukaryota; Viridiplantae; Streptophyta; Magnoliopsida; Poales; Poaceae
Description: long non-coding RNA (TAES_LNC008739)
Source: RNAcentral